GCUGGUUUGAUUUUGUCCUGAUGAUAUGAGGUUUUCUGCAUUUGAAGGAGCUAAACAAAAGAAUGAGAAAAAUGAAAGUGAUGCUGGUUUGAUUUUGUCCUGAUGAUAUGAGGUUUUCUGCAUUUGAAGGAGCUAAACAAAAGAAUGAGAAAAAUGAAAGUGAUGCUGGUUUCAUUUUGUCCUGAUGAUAUGAGGUUUUCUGCA
Oreochromis niloticus (Nile tilapia) is the source of this 204-nucleotide long non-coding RNA. RefSeq lists it as uncharacterized. NCBI's taxonomy places the organism in Eukaryota, Metazoa, Chordata, Actinopteri, Cichliformes, Cichlidae. The transcript has 3 exons. The record is from RefSeq and is a predicted model, not a curated record.